AACGAACGCUGGCGGCGUGCCUAACACACGCAAGUCUCACGAGAAUUGGGUAGCAAUAUCCAUAGUAAAGUGGCGCACGGGUGAGUAAUACACAGAUAAUCUCCCUAAUAGAGGGGGACAACCUGUCGAAAGACGGGCUAAUUCCCCAUAAGCCCCGAAGCUCAUAAAGAGUUUUGGGGGAAAGAUGGCCUCUACUUGUAAGCUAUCGCUAAUAGAUGAGUCUGUGUCCCAUCAGCUAGUUGGUGAGGUAACGGCUCACCAAGGCUAUGACGGGUAGCUGGUCUGAGAGGACAAUCAGCCACACUGGAACGGAAACACGGUCCAGACUCCUACGGGAGGCAGCAGUGGGAAAUAUUGGACAAUGGGGGAAACCCUGAUCCAGCAACGCCGCGUGAGGGAAGAAGGCCUUCGGGUUGUAAGGUACUUUCAGCGGGGAGGAAGGGAGUAAAGUUAAUACCUUUGCUCAUUGACGUUACCCGCAGAAGAAGCACCGGCUAACUCCGUGCCAGCAGCCGCCGUAA
RNAcentral lists this ribosomal RNA (521 nucleotides) under uncultured bacterium. Its description in RNAcentral is "partial 16S ribosomal RNA". It matches the Rfam family "Bacterial small subunit ribosomal RNA", at positions 29 to 523 of the family's 1533-position model. The record is from RNAcentral.